CUUGACUUGAAAUGGAACAAGGAUAUCACUUGUAGAGCCAAAAACUGUACAAGAUUUAGAGAACAAGAAAGUUCUUGGUGGACUGCAUAUUAUCAAGUAUGACCAGAUAGAAAAAGGCUGCAUGAUCUGCUAACAGUGACCUGAUGGGAAAACAAGAAAUGAAAGGAAAUGAAGCAGAGCAAGCUGGCCAGCCUG
Lutra lutra (Eurasian river otter) is the source of this 195-nucleotide long non-coding RNA. RefSeq lists it as uncharacterized. The record is from RefSeq and is a predicted model, not a curated record. The transcript has 3 exons. NCBI's taxonomy places the organism in Eukaryota, Metazoa, Chordata, Mammalia, Carnivora, Mustelidae.